Molecule: ribosomal RNA, 253 nt
Filed under: uncultured bacterium
Lineage: Bacteria
Description: partial 16S ribosomal RNA
Rfam family: Bacterial small subunit ribosomal RNA
Source: RNAcentral
UACAGAGGUCCCAAGCGUUGUUCGGAUUCACUGGGCGUAAAGGGUGCGUAGGUGGUGAGGUAAGUCGGAUGUGAAAUCUCCGAGCUCAACUCGGAAAUGGCAUUGGAAACUACCUUGCUCGAGGGUUGGAGGGGGGACUGGAAUGCUUGGUGUAGCAGUGAAAUGCGUAGAUAUCAAGCGGAACACCAGUGGCGAAGGCGGGUCUCUGGUCAGUAACUGACGCUGAGGAGCGAAAGCGUGGGGAGCGAACAGG